UACGUAGGGGGCUAGCGUUGUCCGGAAUCAUUGGGCGUAAAGCGCGUGUAGGCGGUUCGGUAAGUCUGCUGUGAAAGUCGGGGGCUCAACCCUCGAAUGCCGGUGGAUACUGUCGGGCUAGAGUGCGGAAGAGGCGAGUGGAAUUCCUGGUGUAGCGGUGAAAUGCGCAGAUAUCAGGAGGAACACCAAUUGCGAAGGCAGCUCGCUGGGACGUGACUGACGCUGAGACGCGAAAGCGUGGGGAGCAAACAGG
Molecule: ribosomal RNA, 253 nt
Filed under: uncultured bacterium
Lineage: Bacteria
Description: partial 16S ribosomal RNA
Rfam family: Bacterial small subunit ribosomal RNA
Source: RNAcentral